Molecule: ribosomal RNA, 347 nt
Filed under: uncultured bacterium
Lineage: Bacteria
Description: bacterial SSU rRNA
Rfam family: Bacterial small subunit ribosomal RNA
Source: RNAcentral
CACGGGGGCAACCCUGGUGGCGAGUGGCGAACGGGUGAGUAAUACAUCGGAACGUGCCCAGUAGUGGGGGAUAGCUCGGCGAAAGCCGGAUUAAUACCGCAUACGACCUACGGGUGAAAGCGGGGGAUCGCAAGACCUCGCGCUAUUGGAGCGGCCGAUGUCAGAUUAGGUUGUUGGUGGGGUAAAGGCUCACCAAGCCGACGAUCUGUAGCUGGUCUGAGAGGACGACCAGCCACACUGGGACUGAGACACGGCCCAGACUCCUACGGGAGGCAGCAGUGGGGAAUUUUGGACAAUGGGCGAAAGCCUGAUCCAGCCAUGCCGCGUGCGGGAAGAAGGCCUUCGGG